This 274-nucleotide ribosomal RNA is filed under the name uncultured bacterium. RNAcentral describes it as "partial 16S ribosomal RNA". It matches the Rfam family "Bacterial small subunit ribosomal RNA", at positions 523 to 796 of the family's 1533-position model. The record is from RNAcentral.
AUACGGAGGGCGCGUACGUUGCUCGGAAUCAUUGGGCGUAAAGCGCACGUAGGCGGCCUGAUAAGUCGGAUGUUAAAGCCCACGGCUCAAUCGUGGAAGUGCAUUCGAAACUGUCAGGCUUGAGUAUGGGAGAGGGUUGCGGAAUUCCCGGUGUAGAGGUGAAAUUCGUAGAUAUCGGGAGGAACACCAGCGGCGAAGGCGGCAGCCUGGACCAAUACUGACGCUGAGGUGCGAAAGCGUGGGGAGCAAACAGGAUUAGAUACCCCAGUAGUCC